RNAcentral lists this unclassified non-coding RNA (656 nucleotides) under Hevea brasiliensis (rubber tree). The record is from RNAcentral. Lineage: Eukaryota; Viridiplantae; Streptophyta; Magnoliopsida; Malpighiales; Euphorbiaceae.
GAAACUAAAGGAAGCAAGAGGGAUACAAAUUUAAUAUAGUAUUACUUGUCAAACAUGAAUGCAAAGGUGUAAGGAAGGCAAAAGUGGGAGCCAGAGCUUAUAGUUUAGAAGAGAAAAUAUGACAAUAUAAAAUACUGUAAUAAAUGUCAUAACACAGAGGGUGAGGUAGCUAAUAGUUAAUAACCCUAAAAAUCCAAAAUUAUGUGCCCACGCAUAACUUUGAUCUAAACUAGAAAAAUAGCAAAUUGUAGCAUGAUAUUAACUAUGAGUGGCAAUUGAAGCCAAAGUGCUGCUGAGAGAUGGCCAUGAUUGAAACUUAUAAUUAAAGAUCUUAUUGUAACUGGCUACUUCUGUAGUUCAGGUCACAGAUAUUGAUGUAAAGGAACACUUUUUGGGUGAUCAUCCCAUUGGUUAAUGAUUUACAUAUGGAUUACUGCUAUUAAUUAUAAAUGAGACACCACAGCAAUCCACAGUAAAGAGAUUCCAUACAAUUUCUAAUAUUUAGUUCAGACUGCUUAGGCUAAAAAUGGUAAUAAAAGGAAUUCACAUUAAUACUCCAGCAGGCUAUCCUUCAACUUCUAUUUGCAUGCUCUUAUUUUCUACAAUUUGUUCACACAUCACAGCAUAUGAUGCACAUCCUAGGGACACAGAUUUAA